RNAcentral lists this ribosomal RNA (775 nucleotides) under uncultured Verrucomicrobiota bacterium. RNAcentral's name for it is "bacterial SSU rRNA". It matches the Rfam family "Bacterial small subunit ribosomal RNA", at positions 60 to 823 of the family's 1533-position model. The record is from RNAcentral. Lineage: Bacteria; Pseudomonadati; Verrucomicrobiota.
AGUCGGGCGGAAAUUCGUGGUGUAGCAAUACAUCGCGGGUUUCAGCGGCAAACGGGUGCGUAACACGUAGCUCAUCUACCUCGAAGUGGGGGAUAGCUCGCCGAAAGGCGAAUUAAUACCGCAUGUGGUUGUAAGACUAAAGCGGGGGUCGCAAGACCUCGCGCUUCGAGAUGAGGCUGCGGCCUAUCAGCUUGUUGGCGGGGUAACGGCCCACCAAGGCGAUGACGGGUAGCUGGUCUGAGAGGACGACCAGCCACAGUGGAACUGAGAGACGGUCCACACACCUACGGGUGGCAGCAGUCGAGGAUCUUGGACAAUGGGCGCAAGCCUGAUCCAGCGACGCCGCGUGGGGGAUGAAGGUCUUCGGAUUGUAAACCCCUGUCACUUGGGAAAAACGGCUACGACCUAAUACGUCGUGGCUUGAUGGUACCAGGAGAGGAAGGGACGGCUAACUCUGUGCCAGCAGCCGCGGUAAUACAGAGGUCCCAAGCGUUGUUCGGAUUUACUGGGCUUAAAGGGUGCGCAGGCGGUCAGAUAAGUCGGGUGUGAAAUCCCAAGGCUUAACCUUGGAACUGCGCCCGAAACUGUCUGGCUCGAGGGUUGGAGAGGAGACUGGAAUUCACGGUGUAGCGGUGAAAUGCGUAGAUAUCGUGAGGAACACCAAUGGCGAAGGCAGGUCUCUGGACAAUUCCUGACGCUCAUGCACGAAGGCCAGGGGAGCAAACGGGAUUAGAUACCCCGGUAGUCCUGGCCCUAAACGGUGUUCACUUGCCGU